This 291-nucleotide ribosomal RNA is filed under the name Marinobacter sp. DR-9. RNAcentral's name for it is "partial 16S ribosomal RNA". It matches the Rfam family "Bacterial small subunit ribosomal RNA", at positions 297 to 580 of the family's 1533-position model. The record is from RNAcentral. Lineage: Bacteria; Pseudomonadati; Pseudomonadota; Gammaproteobacteria; Pseudomonadales; Marinobacteraceae.
AGGAUGAUCAGCCACAUCGGGACUGAGACACGGCCCGAACUCCUACGGGAGGCAGCAGUGGGGAAUAUUGGACAAUGGGGGCAACCCUGAUCCAGCCAUGCCGCGUGUGUGAAGAAGGCUUUCGGGUUGUAAAGCACUUUCAGCGAGGAGGAAGGCUCUAAAGUUAAUACCUUUAGGGAUUGACGUUACUCGCAGAAGAAGCACCGGCUAACUCCGUGCCAGCAGCCGCGGUAAUACGGAGGGUGCAAGCGUUAAUCGGAAUUACUGGGCGUAAAGCGCGCGUAGGUGGUU